CCUACGGGAGGCAGCAGUGAGGAAUAUUGGUCAAUGGACGCAAGUCUGAACCAGCCAAGCCGCGUGCAGGAAGACGGUUCUAUGAGUUGUAAACUUCUUUUGUACGAGGGUAAACGCAGAUACGCGUAUCUGUCUGAAAGUACCGUACGAAUAAGGAUCGGCUAACUCCGUGCCAGCAGCCGCGGUAAUACGGAGGAUUCAAGCGUUAUCCGGAUUUAUUGGGUUUAAAGGGUGCGUAGGCGGUCGGAUAAGUUAGCGGUGAAAUCCCGGGGCUCAACUUCGGAAUUGCCUGUGAAACUGGCCGGCUAGAGAGUAGGUGAGGUAGGCGGAAUGUAUGGUGUAGCGGUGAAAUGCUUAGAGAUCACGCAGAACACCGAUUGCGAAGGCAGCUUACCAGGCUACUUCUGACGUUGAGGCACGAAAGCGUGGGGAGCAAACAGGAUUAGAUACCCGAGUAGUC
This 460-nucleotide ribosomal RNA is filed under the name uncultured bacterium. RNAcentral describes it as "partial 16S ribosomal RNA". It matches the Rfam family "Bacterial small subunit ribosomal RNA", at positions 338 to 795 of the family's 1533-position model. The record is from RNAcentral.